RNAcentral lists this transfer RNA (71 nucleotides) under Ptychobarbus chungtienensis. RNAcentral's name for it is "tRNA-Ser". The record is from RNAcentral. Lineage: Eukaryota; Metazoa; Chordata; Actinopteri; Cypriniformes; Cyprinidae.
CCAAGGGAGAACAGAAAAUGGUAAGUACUGCUAAUCCUUACCCCCCACGGUUAAAAUCCGAGGCUUCCUUG